RNAcentral lists this ribosomal RNA (404 nucleotides) under Actinomycetes bacterium. Its description in RNAcentral is "Actinobacteria bacterium partial 16S ribosomal RNA". It matches the Rfam family "Bacterial small subunit ribosomal RNA", at positions 355 to 776 of the family's 1533-position model. The record is from RNAcentral. Lineage: Bacteria; Bacillati; Actinomycetota; Actinomycetes.
UGGGGAAUAUUGGACAAUGGGCGCAAGCCUGAUCCAGCCAUGCCGCGUGAGUGAUGAAGGCCCUAGGGUUGUAAAGCUCUUUCACCGGUGAAGAUAAUGACGGUAACCGGAGAAGAAGCCCCGGCUAACUUCGUGCCAGCAGCCGCGGUAAUACGAAGGGGGCUAGCGUUGUUCGGAUUUACUGGGCGUAAAGCGCACGUAGGCGGACUAUUAAGUCAGGGGUGAAAUCCCGGGGCUCAACCCCGGAACUGCCUUUGAUACUGGUAGUCUUGAGUUCGAGGGAGGUGAGUGGAAUUCCGAGUGUAGGGGUGAAAUUCGUAGAUAUUCGGAGGAACACCAGUGGCGAAGGCGGCUCACUGGCUCGAUACUGACGCUGAGGUGCGAAAGCGUGGGGAGCAAACAGG